RNAcentral lists this non-coding RNA (175 nucleotides) under Actinomycetota bacterium. Its description in RNAcentral is "6S RNA". It matches the Rfam family "6S / SsrS RNA". Rfam says of the family: E. coli 6S RNA was the first non coding RNA to be sequenced, but its function was unknown until recently. It consists of 184 nucleotides that fold into an extended hairpin structure with a large single-stranded internal bulge. The record is from RNAcentral. Lineage: Bacteria; Bacillati; Actinomycetota.
CGAGCUUCGCCUUGCGCGUGGUUCGACAUACGUGGCUGGACCAACACUUAGUGAAUGGGAGCUCUACAUCUCGCGGUGGAAAGGUAUCCCGAAAGGGAAGCUGGAAGCGGCGGUGCGGGCACCCACCUGUUUAGGCAGGGAUUCACCCGGUCGGCCACGGCAAGGCGGGGUUCAU